GUGUUCUGUAGUGCAAUGGAUAGCACAAGUUGGACUUCUAAUCCAAAGGUCGUGGGUUUGAAUGCCGCCUGAGAUU
This is a non-coding RNA of Trichonephila clavipes, 76 nucleotides long. NCBI's taxonomy places the organism in Eukaryota, Metazoa, Arthropoda, Arachnida, Araneae, Nephilidae. The record is from the annotation of a GenBank genome assembly.